Molecule: ribosomal RNA, 254 nt
Filed under: uncultured bacterium
Lineage: Bacteria
Description: partial 16S ribosomal RNA
Rfam family: Bacterial small subunit ribosomal RNA
Source: RNAcentral
UACGAAGGGGGCUAGCGUUGUUCGGAAUUACUGGGCGUAAAGCGCGUGUAGGCGGGUCUUUUAAGUCAGGGGUGAAAUGCCAGGGCUCAACCUUGGAACUGCCUUUGAUACUGGAGACCUUGAGUCCGGGAGAGGUGAGUGGAAUUGCGAGUGUAGAGGUGAAAUUCGUAGAUAUUCGCAAGAACACCAGUGGCGAAGGCGGCUCACUGGCCCGAUACUGACGCUGAGGCACGAAAGCGUGGGGAGCAAACAGG